Molecule: long non-coding RNA, 609 nt
Organism: Homo sapiens (human)
Lineage: Eukaryota; Metazoa; Chordata; Mammalia; Primates; Hominidae
Exons: 3
Source: RefSeq, a predicted model, not a curated record
GCCUUGGACCUGCUUGCAUGGGGAAUUGUGACAGAUUACUGGGCCCAUCACCUAGUAGAUGUUACUGUCUAUUUUUUACCUGGAUCCUGCCUACAGAAAGGAUUGUGACAAAUCAGUGGGCCAAGCAUCCCGGUGACGUGGCUCUUCUGUCUUAGCAAUUCCUAUAGUUGGAAUAGUGACAUAAACCUGGGUCAAGCAUCUGGGGUAAUUUGUGACAUACUGCUGGACCCAGCACCCAGGUCAUUUGACUCUCCUGCCUUGGCCCUUCCCACAGAGGGCAUUGUGACAUUGAGUGGGCUCAGCAGCUAGGUGAUACGACUUUCCUGCCAGGACUCUUCCAACAGAAGGGACAUUGACCUACUCAGGCUCAGUAUUCAGCCAAUAGAUGAAAAAAGAUUCAAGGAAGACACAUUUGCUUUUUAUUCACUCAUCACUUCCCAUCACUAUGCUGACCAGAGUCAAUGUGAGCAGAGUUGAGAAUAGCAGUUUUCUGGCAGGAGAGCCACUUCUCAGCAAAAAAUGACACACUCAAAGUAUAAAUCUUUCAUGGAAGGCUCACAUAUUUUCAGCAAAUUAAGCAUAUGCAUGAAUAAAAUUCUUGUGGUGAAA